AAAAUUAAGAUUAUUAUUCAAUUAAAUUAUUAUUCUUUUAGUUAUUGUAUGCCAUGUGUCAAAAAAAGACAAAUUUAUCAAAAAAAUAUUUUUUAUAAAAAUCUGGAAUCUACUCACGCGCCCAACCAGAGUGAGCCACACUUAUUUUGUCACAUAAGCAUUUUGUGUUUAAUAGGUAAAUGUUUUGAAUAGUUUAAGUGUUCAAUAGGUACAAGUCGUAGUUAAGGUGUCUAAGUGAAUUAUGCGGACAACUUUAAGGGGCCGUGAAUGACUUAAG
RNAcentral lists this long non-coding RNA (277 nucleotides) under Solanum tuberosum (potato). RNAcentral's name for it is "long non-coding RNA (STUB_LNC006835)". Lineage: Eukaryota; Viridiplantae; Streptophyta; Magnoliopsida; Solanales; Solanaceae. The record is from RNAcentral.